GGCUCCUCUUGUUGCGGAGCAUGGGCUCUAGGCGCAUGGGCUUCAGUAGUUGCAGCACGUGGGCUCAUUAGCUGUGGCUUGCAGCUCUGGAGCGCAGGAGUUGUGGCUCACGGGCUUAGUUGCUCCGCGGCAUGUGGGAUCCUCCCAGACCAGGGAUCGAACCGUGUUCCCUGAAUUGGCAG
Molecule: long non-coding RNA, 182 nt
Organism: Aethalodelphis obliquidens (Pacific white-sided dolphin)
Lineage: Eukaryota; Metazoa; Chordata; Mammalia; Artiodactyla; Delphinidae
Exons: 3
Source: RefSeq, a predicted model, not a curated record